CGGGGAGGUAGUGACGAAAAAUAACGAUACGGGACUCAUCCGAGGCCCCGUAAUCGGAAUGAGUACACUUUAAAUCCUUUAACGAGGACCAAUUGGAGGGCAAGUCUGGUGCCAGCAGCCGCGGUAAUUCCAGCUCCAAUAGCGUAUAUUAAAGUUGUUGCGGUUAAAAAGCUCGUAGUUGAAUCUGUGUGUCACAGUGUCGGUUCACCGCUCGCGGUGUUUAACUGGCAUUAUGUGGUACGUCCUACCGGUGGGCUUAGCUCUCUACGGGGCGGUCCAACUAAUAUCCCAUCGCGGUGCUCUUCAUUGAGUGUCGAGGUGGGCCGGUACGUUUACUUUGAACAAAUUAGAGUGCUCAAAGCAGGCUACCUUCGCCUGAAUACUCUGUGCAUGGAAUAAUGGAAUAGGACCUCGGUUCUAUUUUGUUGGUUUUCGGAACCCCGAGGUAAUGAUUAAUAGGGACAGAUGGGGGCAUUCGUAUUGCGACGUUAGAGGUGAAAUUCUUGGAUCGUCGCAAGACGGACAGAAGCGAAAGCAUUUGCCAAAAAUGUUUUCAUUAAUCAAGAACGAAAGUUAGAGGUUCGAAGGCGAUCAGAUACCGCCCUAGUUCUAACCAUAAACGAUGCCAGCUAGCGAUCCGCCGAAGUUCCUCCGAUGACUCGGCGGGCAGCUUCCGGGAAACCAAAGCUUUUGGGUUCCGGGGGAAGUAUGGUUGCAAAGCUGAAACUUAAAGGAAUUGACGGAAGGGCACCACCAGGAGUGGAGCCUGCGGCUUAAUUUGACUC
RNAcentral lists this ribosomal RNA (785 nucleotides) under Oreopasites barbarae. RNAcentral's name for it is "SSU rRNA". It matches the Rfam family "Eukaryotic small subunit ribosomal RNA", at positions 457 to 1201 of the family's 1831-position model. Lineage: Eukaryota; Metazoa; Arthropoda; Insecta; Hymenoptera; Apidae. The record is from RNAcentral.